ACGAGCUCACCAAAAAUGCCAACGCCGCAGUGCACGAUGAAGCCGCGUGAUAAUUUGUCAAUUUCUGAGCCAGCCCCAGGGACAAUGAAACUGCAAGGAAAUUCCUAAUUUUCCCCCAAAUUUUAAAUAUUUAGCUGGCAAUUUUAUGUAUAAUCUUCAUUGUCCGAUGCGGAUUGCUGGAAAGUUGAACAUUUACAUGUAAAAAAGUUUGAAUGACUUCAACAAUUUCCUGUGUGGAGGACAGCACUUGUUCUUUUUGGUAUCACUUAUCUGCUUGUAAAAAUUAUACAGUUAUGAAAUAUUUGUCUGAAUUUUGAAUUUUUUUGCUUCA
Long non-coding RNA from Olea europaea var. sylvestris, 331 nucleotides. RefSeq lists it as uncharacterized. NCBI's taxonomy places the organism in Eukaryota, Viridiplantae, Streptophyta, Magnoliopsida, Lamiales, Oleaceae. The record is from RefSeq and is a predicted model, not a curated record. The transcript has 2 exons.